This 1168-nucleotide long non-coding RNA is filed under the name Phasianus colchicus (ring-necked pheasant). RNAcentral describes it as "lncRNA (ENSPCLG00000021272.1)". The record is from RNAcentral. Lineage: Eukaryota; Metazoa; Chordata; Aves; Galliformes; Phasianidae.
CUUGUUAGUGCACACAUGCUUUCCUGGAUAAUUUGACCUUUUAUCUCUAUGGGAAUCGUUAGGUCACAGCUGGAACCACUGAUGGAGCACCUGGUGAAAGGGUGUAGCCAGCUCUGGGAAAACAGGUGGAAGCAAUUCCUCCUAACCUCAUAUAAUGGCUGGCAGCUGGGAAAAAUUUCUACUUUGAGAUUGUCUCCUUUGGAGUGUUUGGUGGUGCUUGAUCCUUGGAAUGGGAUAUGUUGGAGCCAGAAUUUUUAAAAUCCUCUUACCUCCAUGUUGGAUCUUGGUCUCCCACAAGGGUGGUGCCAUCUUUUGUUGUAGUGCCCGAGGAGCCUGAGAGCAACAGGAAUGCUGUGGCAGGAUCUGCUGUGGGAUGAGUUUGAUAGAUCAGAACAGUACAGCCACAAGCCAAACAAAUCAAGGUCUCUAGACUCUUUUCCACUGCUGUACUAUGCAAGUGUUUCAACUUUGAGCAUUAGCACUAUGUUGGACUCAUUCUGUCAGCACAACAAUUUCACCUCAGGAAACAACAAGGAGGAGUUUUCCAUUCCGUGGAAGGUUUGGCUUUUGCUUCUGUUCUUUGUAGUUGAUUUGCCUUCCUUGAUAAGUGAUUUACUACCUCACCUAAGGAUUAUAGUCCAGCCACCUUUUUUGCAACAGCAGGAUUAAAGUGCAUUGACAACAUUAUAGCAUUUUCAUCUCUCUUUUGGAACGAGCAUGUUUCUGGUCUAGUGGCUUUGUUUUUGUGUUUGAGUUCUUAUGUGUACGAGAAGGCUUUUAGAACUGUUUUGUUUCUUUCCUUGCACAUUCAGAAGAAUUCACAUUGCAUCAUUCCUUCUGUGAAAUGUUUCUGCCUGCAGUACCAUUACUUACGUAGAAAAAUGUAGGAGGAGUUCAUUUAAAAUCACUGUGCAAAUAUAUGUCCACGUAUGAAUUCCUUCCUGUGCAUAUACAACUACAUCUUUAUUGCUGUCACAAAUAGAAGCAGAGGUAUAACUGCCCUAGCUCCAUUUGGCUGUCCUCCAAAAUUAUGCAGAAAGUCAUUUCUCUUUACAUUGACCUUAAGUGAACUAAAAAACAUGUCCUGGAGCUGGCUGUAUAGGAGCCAUAUGUAUCGUUCAGCAUAUAUUACUAUUUUUCUUACUGUUUUGCUGCAUGUUUGUGGGAG